UACAGAGGGUGCAAGCGUUAAUCGGAAUUACUGGGCGUAAAGCGUGCGCAGGCGGCUAUUUAAGCUUGCUGUGAAAGCCCCGGGCUUAACCUGGGAACUGCAGUGAGGACUGGAUGGCUGGAGUGUGGCAGAGGGGGGUGGAAUUCCACGUGUAGCAGUGAAAUGCGUAGAGAUGUGGAGGAACACCGAUGGCGAAGGCAGCCCCCUGGGCUAACACUGACGCUCAGGCACGAAAGCGUGGGGAGCAAACAGG
This 253-nucleotide ribosomal RNA is filed under the name uncultured bacterium. Its description in RNAcentral is "partial 16S ribosomal RNA". It matches the Rfam family "Bacterial small subunit ribosomal RNA", at positions 524 to 776 of the family's 1533-position model. The record is from RNAcentral.